GGGCGGUUAGCUCAGUUGGUAGAGCACCUGCCUUACAAGCAGGGGGCCGGCGGUUCAAGUCCGUCACCGCCCA
This 73-nucleotide transfer RNA is filed under the name Micrococcus endophyticus. RNAcentral describes it as "tRNA-Val". It matches the Rfam family "tRNA". Rfam says of the family: Transfer RNA (tRNA) molecules are approximately 80 nucleotides in length. RNAcentral also lists the same sequence under 4 other names. Lineage: Bacteria; Bacillati; Actinomycetota; Actinomycetes; Micrococcales; Micrococcaceae. The record is from RNAcentral.